GAACUUGAGUGCAGAAGAGGAGAGUGGAAUUCCACGUGUAGCGGUGAAAUGCGUAGAGAUGUGGAGGAACACCAGUGGCGAAGGCGACUCUCUGGUCUGUAACUGACGCUGAGGAGCGAAAGCGUGGGGAGCGAACAGGAUUAGAUACCCUGGUAGUCCACGCCGUAAACGAUGAGUGCUAAGUGUUAGGGGGUUUCCGCCCCUUAGUGCUGCAGCUAACGCAUUAAGCACUCCGCCUGGGGAGUACGGUCGCAAGACUGAAACUCAAAGGAAUUGACGGGGGCCCGCACAAGCGGUGGAGCAUGUGGUUUAAUUCGAAGCAACGCGAAGAACCUUACCAGGUCUUGACAUCCUCUGACAAUCCUAGAGAUAGGACGUCCCCUUCGGGGGCAGAGUGACAGGUGGUGCAUGGUUGUCGUCAGCUCGUGUCGUGAGAUGUUGGGUUAAGUCCCGCAACGAGCGCAACCCUUGAUCUUAGUUGCCAGCAUUUAGUUGGGCACUCUAAGGUGACUGCCGGUGACAAACCGGAGGAAGGUGGGGAUGACGUCAAAUCAUCAUGCCCCUUAUGACCUGGGCUACACACGUGCUACAAUGGACAGAACAAAGGGCAGCGAAACCGCGAGGUUAAGCCAAUCCCACAAAUCUGUUCUCAGUUCGGAUCGCAGUCUGCAACUCGACUGCGUGAAGCUGGAAUCGCUAGUAAUCGCGGAUCAGCAUGCCGCGGUGAAUACGUUCCCGGGCCUUGUACACACCGCCCGUCACACCACGAGAGUUUGUAACACCCGAAGUCGGUGAGGUAACCUUUUAGGAGCCAGCCGCCGAAGGUGGGACAGAUGAUUGGGGUGAAGUCGUAACAAGGUAGCCGUAUCGGAAGGUGCGGCUGGAUCACCUCCUUUCUAAGGAUAUUAUACGGAAUAUAAGACCUUAGGUCUUAUAAACAGAACGUUCCCUGUCUUGUUUAGUUUUGAAGGAUCAUUCCUUCGAAACGUGUUCUUUGAAAACUAGAUAACAGUAGACAUCACAUUCAAUUAGUAAUACAAGAUAUCACAUAGUGAUUCUUUUUAACGGUUAAGUUAGAAAGGGCGCACGGUGGAUGCCUUGGCACUAGGAGCCGAUGAAGGACGGGACGAACACCGAUAUGCUUCGGGGAGCUGUAAGCAAGCUUUGAUCCGGAGAUUUCCGAAUGGGGAAACCCACCACUCGUAAUGGAGUGGUAUCCAUAUCUGAAUUCAUAGGAUAUGAGAAGGCAGACCCGGGGAACUGAAACAUCUAAGUACCCGGAGGAAGAGAAAGCAAAUGCGAUUCCCUGAGUAGCGGCGAGCGAAACGGGAUUAGCCCAAACCAAGAGGCUUGCCUCUUGGGGUUGUAGGACACUCUGUACGGAGUUACAAAAGAACGAGGUAGAUGAAGAGGUCUGGAAAGGCCCGCCAUAGGAGGUAACAGCCCUGUAGUCAAAACUUCGUUCUCUCCUGAGUGGAUCCUGAGUACGGCGGAACACGUGAAAUUCCGUCGGAAUCC
This 1518-nucleotide ribosomal RNA is filed under the name Bacillus subtilis subsp. subtilis. RNAcentral describes it as "bacterial SSU rRNA". The stretch from base 1 to 896 matches the Rfam family "Bacterial small subunit ribosomal RNA", at positions 638 to 1533 of the family's 1533-position model. Lineage: Bacteria; Bacillati; Bacillota; Bacilli; Caryophanales; Bacillaceae. The record is from RNAcentral.